This 420-nucleotide ribosomal RNA is filed under the name bacterium. RNAcentral's name for it is "partial 16S ribosomal RNA". It matches the Rfam family "Bacterial small subunit ribosomal RNA", at positions 355 to 776 of the family's 1533-position model. The record is from RNAcentral.
UGGGGGAUAUUGCACAAUGGGCGAAAGCCUGAUGCAGCGACGCCGCGUGGGGGAUGAAGGCUUUCGGGUUGUAAACCUCUUUCGCUAUCGAACAAGGCCCGCUUAGGGUGGGUUGAGGGUAGGUGGAGAAGAAGCGCCGGCUAACUACGUGCCAGCAGCCGCGGUAAUACGUAGGGCGCGAGCGUUGUCCGGAAUUAUUGAGCGUAAAGGGCUUGUAGGCGGCUUGUUGCGCCUGCUGUGAAAACGCGGGGCUUAACUUCGCGCGUGCAGUGGGUACGGGCAGGCUUGAGUGUGGUAGAGGUGACUGGAAUUCCAGGUGUAGCGGUGGAAUGCGCAGAUAUCUGGAGGAACACCGAUGGCGAAGGCAGGUCACUGGGCCAUUACUGACGCUGAGGAGCGAAAGCAUGGGUAGCGAACAGG